AGGGGAGAGGCGAUGAUCGCUGCGUCGCACGGCUCGGGCGUGUGGCGGGGAGGAAAGUCCGAACUCCACAGGGCAGCGUGGUCCGUAACGCGGACUGCCCCUUGACCCGAAAGGAGAAUGGGGUAAGGAAAGUGCCACAGAAAAGAUACCGCCCCGCCGGAAGGCGAGGUAAGGGUGAAAUGGUGCGGUAAGAGCGCACCGCCCUGGCAGCGAUGCCGGGGGCAGGGUAAACCCCACGCGGAGCAAGACCAAAUAGGCCCCGCCGCGAAGAGCGGCCCGUUCGACCGGCGUGAGCCAGGCGGGGCGGGUAGGUUGCUUGAGCCACGCAGCAAUGCGCGGCCUAGAGGAAUGAUCAUCCCACCUGAGCGCGAGCGAGGGUGGACAGAAUUCGGCUUACGCCUCUCCCCUCAAU
Molecule: RNase P RNA, 412 nt
Filed under: Acidobacteriota bacterium
Lineage: Bacteria; Pseudomonadati; Acidobacteriota
Description: Acidobacteria bacterium (groundwater metagenome) RNase P RNA component class A
Rfam family: Bacterial RNase P class A
About the family: Ribonuclease P (RNase P) is a ubiquitous endoribonuclease, found in archaea, bacteria and eukarya as well as chloroplasts and mitochondria. Its best characterised activity is the generation of mature 5'-ends of tRNAs by cleaving the 5'-leader elements of precursor-tRNAs.
Source: RNAcentral